Lycium barbarum (goji berry) is the source of this 829-nucleotide long non-coding RNA. RefSeq lists it as uncharacterized. The transcript has 3 exons. The record is from RefSeq and is a predicted model, not a curated record. Lineage: Eukaryota; Viridiplantae; Streptophyta; Magnoliopsida; Solanales; Solanaceae.
UUGGAAUUAAAAAUCUUGUACAAAGGGCUAUUGUGGCCGUGUAUAUGGGAAAUGGCCCCACACAUUGUGUGGCCAAUUUUAAAUGGCCCAACACAUUGUGUGGGCCAUGGACACUUAUAGAUAUUUGUGGGGCUUAAAAGAUGAAGACCUAAGUCAUCUUCUCUCACCAUUUCAACACUUAGAAAAAUCAAGACUUGGAGAGCUUCCACCAAACACCCUUCUCGGCCAAGACUUGGGAAAAUCAAGUCCCAUUUCAAGCCACCUUAAAAAUAUUUCUUGGGUACAAAUCAACUAAUUAGAGGUCCCUAAGUAACGUGGAAGCAUUGUUGGAGCAAUCAAGUCAUUUGUUUAAGAGAUCGCAAACCCUAACCCAUUGUGGAAUUGAAGAAGAAAGACCUUGGGGAGACCGAGGCGUAGAUUGAGAUUUACUUUAGAUUGGCUAGCUUGGAGUGCGUACGAGGUACAGACGCACAGUUUGGUGAUCCACCAGUCUAGGACACCCUCUUCUUCCGUUUGGAGUGCUCUUCUCAUUUCAGAGCAUAUAUUUUGGUAUAUAUAUUCGUUCGCUGUGUAUGUAUAUAUUUGUUCAGGGGUACGACGGGGCCCUGUCCCGUCAUAUGUUUCGGUUGGUCUGUUUAGAGAUCUGUAGAAGUAAUUGUGGGUGGGUGUGCCUACUUCUGUACAUAUGUGUUUAUAUGACCCUAUUCGCUAUGGCAGCCUUGUCGGCGUGCAUUUGUAUAUGUUUUGGGCCGUUGUGCCAUUUGAUAGCCUUGUCGGCUUUUGAUACAUUUGAUAUCCUUGCCGACUUUUUGAUAUAUAUAUCCGCGUA